Molecule: long non-coding RNA, 337 nt
Organism: Amphimedon queenslandica
Lineage: Eukaryota; Metazoa; Porifera; Demospongiae; Haplosclerida; Niphatidae
Exons: 3
Source: RefSeq, a predicted model, not a curated record
GUAGCAACAACAGCUGCUGCUGGUGGAGUCGUGGCAAAGGAGGCACCCGGGUCUGAAAAAGCCACCGACGUAUAUUCGGUUUUAUGAUAUAGUACAUUUUUGUGUUACUUUAGUAAUGCAUCAAAAGCUAAUAAAUUCAAACCAAGAAGGAAAAGUGCUAACAGUGAGUGGUGGGCCGAGUUGCGCAAAGAGGAAGACGAGAGAAUUGCUGAAUGGUCCAAGAACUAUUGGGACAGGGCAAAAGAAAGGAGAGAGGGUGUAGGUAGUGAUGCACCAGCUAGCGAUGACAUACUUACAGCUACAUCAGGCUGUCGUGCCAUUGCUCCUAAUGCUGACA